GACGGAGGUUGCUAGCGUUGUUCGGAAUCACUGGGCGUAAAGGGCGCGUAGGCGGCUUCAGGUGUCGGAUGUGAAAGCCCGGGGCUCAACCCCGGAGGUGCAUCCGAAACUCUGGGGCUGGAGGCCGGAAGAGGAGGGUGGAAUACCCAGUGUAGAGGUGAAAUUCGUAGAUAUUGGGUGGAACACCGGUGGCGAAAGCGGCUCUCUGGUCCGGUCCUGACGCUGAGGCGCGAAAGCGUGGGGAGCAAACAGG
RNAcentral lists this ribosomal RNA (253 nucleotides) under uncultured bacterium. RNAcentral describes it as "partial 16S ribosomal RNA". It matches the Rfam family "Bacterial small subunit ribosomal RNA", at positions 524 to 776 of the family's 1533-position model. The record is from RNAcentral.